This 253-nucleotide ribosomal RNA is filed under the name uncultured bacterium. Its description in RNAcentral is "partial 16S ribosomal RNA". It matches the Rfam family "Bacterial small subunit ribosomal RNA", at positions 524 to 776 of the family's 1533-position model. The record is from RNAcentral.
UACAGAGGUCUCAAGCGUUGUUCGGAUUCAUUGGGCGUAAAGGGUGCGUAGGCGGCGCGGUAAGUCGGGUGUGAAAUCUCGGGGCUUAACUCCGAAACUGCAUUCGAUACUGCCGUGCUUGAGGACUGGAGAGGAGACUGGAAUUUACGGUGUAGCGGUGAAAUGCGUAGAUAUCGUAAGGAAGACCAGUGGCGAAGGCGGGUCUCUGGACAGUUCCUGACGCUGAGGCAAGAAGGCCAGGGGAGCAAACGGG